GUGGCUGAGGAGUGGGCCCGGGGCACCUUCAAACUCAACCCCAAUCAUGAGGACAUCCACACAGCCAAGGAGCGCUGCCUGAAGAUGAACCGCCUUUCUAAUUAGUUUUCUGAGUCGACGUCCGACUUAUUGAUUCCCAGUGUUGGGAUCCGAGCAACCCACUGUGGCAGCCUAAAUAGCAGCGGUAAGACUGAUGGUGUUCUUCUGCCUGGGAAUCUCUGGUCUGGCUUCCCUCUUGAGUCUGCAACAAGUGGCUCUGACUUCCCGGAGCUCCAAACUCCGGUCAGUAGGGGAAGCAGUCCCGUUGGCUCUGCAUGAAGAGCUGCUGCGCCCAGACGCCGGCAAAACCGCUGCGGCGGCCACAAGAGUCGCGCUGGCGACCCGUGGGACUCCUCCACUGGGAAUCGGCUGAUCGGUGAGUGACGAAAAUUUGUCUAAAAGUGUGGCGUCGUCUCGUUCUCUGGGCUUUCACUGGGAGCUACAAUCCUGAGCUGUUAGUGGUCGGCCAUCUUGGAUCGAUCCUACUCUGCGUCAUUCUGUUAAUUUCACCAUUGGCAGACAGCAGCCAAGACUGCAGGACAUGGGUCAGGCGCAGUGGCUCAUGCCAAUAAUCCUAGCCUCUGGGAGGCUGAGGUGGGAGGAUUGCUUGAGGCCAGGAGUUCGAGACCAGCCUGGGCAACAUAAUGAGGUUCCAUAACUACAAGAAAUUACAAAAAAAAAUAAAAAGAACAAAAGGCCUCAGCGGAAAUGGCAAGAGAUUUGGGCAGGUCCCAGGACCCUGGGAUAGGGAGGGAGGUUGGCAGGGCUGAUGAAUCCUGCCCUUCUUGGGUUGACCCCUCUGGGCACAUAGACCAUGACCCUGGGCCUCCCUUCACCUCCAGGAGCUCCUUGGCGAAACUGCAGGGCAGCAGCACACGGGUCGUACAGCUGGAAUGACCAGGUGCACGCCCCUCCGGCCCCUGCUCCAUGCUGUCCCAACCUUGGGGAGCCCAGGGGGCAAUUAGAGCUCAGCAGGGUCCUGGCUCCCCAGGGAAGCAGCACGUCUGUCUCGCUGAGCACCUCCUCCUCCUCGCACAGGUGGUCACGGACCUCAGGCUGUGGAUUCGGCAGACCUGCUCCAUGUUCUCGGGCCUCCUCUGGGAGUUCAUCAGGACCUUGGUGGAUGCGGAACAUGACAUCCUCUUCUGGGGGCACACCCACCUGCUGAGGACCCAGCCCACUGGAGACACUGGAUUCUGAGCCAUGCCAUGGUGCUGACCCGAGACUCUGAACGGCUGCUGGAGGUGCGGAAGCAGAUCGAUGUCCUGCCCUUGGGAGGUGGGUGAGGCUCCAGUACCCUGAGGGCCUGGUUGGGGUGGCUGCUGCAUAGCCUUAGGGAUUGACAGACAAGCUGGGAAGGGCAGAGUGGGACAGAAAGCCGAGUUAUUCGCUCAGAGGGGGACCCUGCAUGUAGCCCCUGCUCUCACUAAGAUGGGGACGAUUAAGCUGGUGAAUGUGUCUGAGCAGGGCCAGAGCUCUCCAGAGAGGCUCCUGGCGAGCCCAGCCCACUGCCCUCAGCCUGAUACAUGGGGAUGUGUGUUAGGAGACAAGUGUCCUGCACCCAAGGCGACUCAGUGCUUGAAGAUAAGUGUUCUGGGGACACUUGGGGACAAGUGUUGUGCACCUGUGGCAACUGAGCCAGGGAAGGGGCUGAGUUUCAGGAUGUUGCCCUGGAAAUCAGGACUUGGUUCUGUGUAUCUGUGUGUGUGUGUGUGUGUGUGUAUGUAUGUGUGUGUCAGGGAUGCCUGCUAGGAGCCCUGGUCAUCACGAAUCCCUGUCCCUGCAGUGGUGCCAUUGCGGGCAAUCCCCUGGGUGUGGACCAAG
Long non-coding RNA from Callithrix jacchus (white-tufted-ear marmoset), 1863 nucleotides. The record is from Ensembl. NCBI's taxonomy places the organism in Eukaryota, Metazoa, Chordata, Mammalia, Primates, Cebidae.